AUUGAACGCUGGCGGCAGGCCUAACACAUGCAAGUCGAACGAGUGGCGGACGGGUGAGCAAUGUCUGGGAAACUGCCCGAUGGAGGGGGAUAACUACUGGAAACGGUAGCUACUACCGCAUACCAUCGGAUGUGCCCUGAUGGGAUUAGCUAGUAGGUGGGGUAACGGCUCACCUAGGCGACGAUCCCUAGCUGGUCGGAGAGGCUGAACGGCCACACUGGAACUGAGAACCGGUCCAUACUCCUACGGGAGGCAGCAGUGGGGAAUAUUGCACAAUGGGCGCAAGCCUGAUGCAGCCAUGCCGCGUGUAUGAAGAAGGCCUUCGGGUUGUAAAGUACUUUCGGCGGGGAGGCGUUACCCGCAGAAGAAGCACCGGCUAACUCCGUGCCAGCAGCCGCGGUAAUAC
This 406-nucleotide ribosomal RNA is filed under the name uncultured bacterium. Its description in RNAcentral is "partial 16S ribosomal RNA". It matches the Rfam family "Bacterial small subunit ribosomal RNA", at positions 30 to 526 of the family's 1533-position model. The record is from RNAcentral.